GACGAACGCUGGCGGCGUGCUUAACACAUGCAAGUCGAACGGAAAGGCCCUGCUUUUGUGGGGUGCUCGAGUGGCGAACGGGUGAGUAACACGUGAGUAACCUGCCCUUGACUUUGGGAUAACUUCAGGAAACUGGGGCUAAUACCGGAUAGGAGCUCCUGCUGCAUGGUGGGGGUUGGAAAGUUUCGGCGGUUGGGGAUGGACUCGCGGCUUAUCAGCUUGUUGGUGGGGUAGUGGCUUACCAAGGCUUUGACGGGUAGCCGGCCUGAGAGGGUGACCGGCCACAUUGGGACUGAGAUACGGCCCAGACUCCUACGGGAGGCAGCAGUGGGGAAUAUUGCACAAUGGGCGGAAGCCUGAUGCAGCAACGCCGCGUGCGGGAUGACGGCCUUCGGGUUGUAAACCGCUUUCGCCUGUGACGAAGCGUGAGUGACGGUAAUGGGUAAAGAAGCACCGGCUAACUACGUGCCAGCAGCCGCGGUGAUACGUAGGGUGCGAGCGUUGUCCGGAUUUAUUGGGCGUAAAGGGCUCGUAGGUGGUUGAUCGCGUCGGAAGUGUAAUCUUGGGGCUUAACCCUGAGCGUGCUUUCGAUACGGGUUGACUUGAGGAAGGUAGGGGAGAAUGGAAUUCCUGGUGGAGCGGUGGAAUGCGCAGAUAUCAGGAGGAACACCAGUGGCGAAGGCGGUUCUCUGGGCCUUUCCUGACGCUGAGGAGCGAAAGCGUGGGGAGCGAACAGGCUUAGAUACCCUGGUAGUCCACGCUGUAAACGGUGGGUACUAGGUGUGGGGUCCAUUCCACGGGUUCCGUGCCGUAGCUAACGCUUUAAGUACCCCGCCUGGGGAGUACGGCCGCAAGGCUAAAACUCAAAGGAAUUGACGGGGCCCCGCACAAGCGGCGGAGCAUGCGGAUUAAUUCGAUGCAACGCGUAGAACCUUACCUGGGUUUGACAUGGAUCGGGAGCGCUCAGAGAUGGGUGUGCCUCUUUUGGGGUCGGUUCACAGGUGGUGCAUGGCUGUCGUCAGCUCGUGUCGUGAGAUGUUGGGUUAAGUCCCGCAACGAGCGCAACCCUUGUUCACUGUUGCCAGCACGUUAUGGUGGGGACUCAGUGGAGACCGCCGGGGUCAACUCGGAGGAAGGUGGGGAUGACGUCAAGUCAUCAUGCCCCUUAUGUCCAGGGCUUCACGCAUGCUACAAUGGCUGGUACAGAGAGUGGCGAGCCUGUGAGGGUGAGCGAAUCUCGGAAAGCCGGUCUCAGUUCGGAUUGGGGUCUGCAACUCGACCUCAUGAAGUCAGAGUCGCUAGUAAUCGCAGAUCAGCAACGCUGCGGUGAAUACGUUCCCGGGGCU
This 1346-nucleotide ribosomal RNA is filed under the name uncultured bacterium. Its description in RNAcentral is "bacterial SSU rRNA". It matches the Rfam family "Bacterial small subunit ribosomal RNA", at positions 28 to 1381 of the family's 1533-position model. The record is from RNAcentral.